RNAcentral lists this ribosomal RNA (496 nucleotides) under uncultured bacterium. Its description in RNAcentral is "partial 16S ribosomal RNA". It matches the Rfam family "Bacterial small subunit ribosomal RNA", at positions 28 to 506 of the family's 1533-position model. The record is from RNAcentral.
GAUGAACGCUGGCGGCGUGCCUAAUACAUGCAAGUCGAGCGAACAGACGAGGAGCUUGCUCCUCUGACGUUAGCGGCGGACGGGUGAGUAACACGUGGAUAACCUACCUAUAAGACUGGGAUAACUUCGGGAAACCGGAGCUAAUACCGGAUAAUAUAUUGAACCGCAUGGUUCAAUAGUGAAAGACGGUUUUGCUGUCACUUAUAGAUGGAUCCGCGCCGCAUUAGCUAGUUGGUAAGGUAACGGCUUACCAAGGCAACGAUGCGUAGCCGACCUGAGAGGGGGUCGGGCCAACCUGGACGGUGGACACGGCCGAGAUUCCUAGGGGGGGCGGCAGGAGGAAUGUUUCCGCAAGGGGGGAAAUCUUAACGGGGCAACGCCGCGGAGGUAAAGAGGGUCUGCGGGUCGGAAAACUCGUUAUUGGGGAAAAAAAAAAUUUGAAAGUAACUGUGCCCGUCUUAACGGAACCGAAAAGAAAGGCCCCGCUAAAAUAGGU